UACGAGAGGCCCAAACGUUAUUCGGAUUUACUGGGCUUAAAGAGUUCGUAGGCGGCGCGGAAAGUAGGGUGUGAAAGCCCUCGGCUUAACCGAGGAAUUGCGCUCUAAACUACCGUGCUUGAGGAACCUAGAGGUGAGCAGAACUGAUGGUGGAGCGGUGAAAUGCGUUGAUAUCAUCAGGAAUACCGGAGGCGAAGGCGGCUCACUGGGGGUUAUCUGACGCUGAGGAACGAAAGCCAGGGGAGCAAACGGG
RNAcentral lists this ribosomal RNA (253 nucleotides) under uncultured bacterium. RNAcentral describes it as "partial 16S ribosomal RNA". It matches the Rfam family "Bacterial small subunit ribosomal RNA", at positions 524 to 776 of the family's 1533-position model. The record is from RNAcentral.